This 253-nucleotide ribosomal RNA is filed under the name uncultured bacterium. Its description in RNAcentral is "partial 16S ribosomal RNA". It matches the Rfam family "Bacterial small subunit ribosomal RNA", at positions 524 to 776 of the family's 1533-position model. The record is from RNAcentral.
GACAGUGGAUGCAAGCGUUAUCCGGAAUGAUUGGGCGUAAAGCGUCUGUAGGUGGCUUUUUAAGUCCGCUGUCAAAUCCCAGGGCUCAACCCUAGAUAGGCGGUGGAAACUACCAAGCUGGAGUACGGUAGGGGCAGAGGGAAUUUCCGGUGGAGCGGUGAAAUGCAUUGAGAUCGGAAAGAACACCAACGGCGAAAGUAGUCUCUUGGGCCGACACUGACACUGAGAGACGAAAGCUAGGGGAGCAAAUGGG